GGGGAUAUAGCUCAGUGGGAGAGCGUUCGGUUCGCAUCCGAAAGGCCGUGGGUUCAAAUCCCAUUAUCUCCA
This 72-nucleotide transfer RNA is filed under the name Lachnospiraceae bacterium. Its description in RNAcentral is "tRNA-Ala". It matches the Rfam family "tRNA". From Rfam's summary of the family: Transfer RNA (tRNA) molecules are approximately 80 nucleotides in length. Their secondary structure includes four short double-helical elements and three loops (D, anti-codon, and T loops). Further hydrogen bonds mediate the characteristic L-shaped molecular structure. tRNAs have two regions of fundamental functional importance: the anti-codon, which is responsible for specific mRNA codon recognition, and the 3' end, to which the tRNAs corresponding amino acid is attached (by aminoacyl-tRNA synthetases). tRNAs cope with the degeneracy of the genetic code in two manners: having more than one tRNA (with a specific anti-codon) for a particular amino acid; and 'wobble' base-pairing, i.e. permitting non-standard base-pairing at the 3rd anti-codon position. Lineage: Bacteria; Bacillati; Bacillota; Clostridia; Lachnospirales; Lachnospiraceae. RNAcentral also lists the same sequence under 2 other names. The record is from RNAcentral.